RNAcentral lists this ribosomal RNA (473 nucleotides) under uncultured bacterium. Its description in RNAcentral is "bacterial SSU rRNA". It matches the Rfam family "Bacterial small subunit ribosomal RNA", at positions 33 to 518 of the family's 1533-position model. The record is from RNAcentral.
ACGCUGGCGGCGUGCCUAACACAUGCAAGUCGAACGGACGAGGGGAGCUUGCUCCCUGAGUUAGUGGCGAACGGGUGAGUAACGCGUGAGCAACCUGCCUUUCAGAGGGGGACAACGGUUGGAAACGACCGCUAAUACCGCAUGAAGCAAUCGGACCGCAUGAUCUGAUUGCCAAAGAUUUUUAUCGCUGAAAGAUGGGCUCGCGUCUGAUUAGAUAGUUGGUGGGGUAACGGCUCACCAAGUCGACGAUCAGUAGCCGGACUGAGAGGUUGAACGGCCACAUUGGGACUGAGAUACGGCCCAGACUCCUACGGGAGGCAGCAGUGGGGAAUAUUGGGCAAUGGGGGAAACCCUGACCCAGCAACGCCGCGUGAAGGAAGAAGGCUUUCGGGUUGUAAACUUCUUUUACCAGGGACGAAGGACGUGACGGUACCUGGAGAAAAAGCCACGGCUAACUACGUGCCAGCCGCCGC